ACCUCUGUUAGCUUGUGUGGAAAGCGGAGGCUUAUCUCCUUGGCUUGUUGUCCAUUAGGGUUCAUACCUGAGGGCUCAGGUCACCUUCUUCUUGUUAGCUUAGAAAAAUUAUAUCACUUCAUUAGAGGUGUUUGUUCAGCUUCUGAGUGUCCUCAGGCAUUUGGAUGCGUUGCUGGGGGAAUGCUGAUUUUGUCAGAGCUGGAGACGGGGCGUUUUGGGCCCUCUUUGAGGGAUCGUUCCAGGAUCAACUAGAAGGGAGAGCGUGGAGAUGCCUCUGCGGCAGGAUUUGGUGAGAGUUCUCCACUGGGUCCACUCCAUCAUAAUGAAGCUUCAACACAGGCCUCCACAGAGCUCCAAGAGAGGAAUCCAGGAAGGAGAAAGUGAAGGGAGAUGGGGCUUUCCAAAACGUCUGUGGCUCUUAUCAUGAUUUAGUCUCUACCAGACCUUGUAGACAUUAAACAGCAAGAAUGAGCACUAUUCUCACUCAGAAAAAGAAACAUUAUAUAGUGGAUGCUGGAACACUACCAUGAUGUGCUGUGAGAUCUUACCAUCUGCUAUUCCAUUAGGGGCUGUUUAUGAAAGCUGCCUCCCAACCAGAGAUAAUGCUGCAUUUUAACACGUUAGCUGAGUUUGUACUUUGAAUGAGCUUUCUGAUUUUUGAAUUUUUACUCGAUUUGACACCUUUCUGAGAGCUGGCAGAAGCAAUGUGUGGCUUGAUGGCUUAAAACGUGCAAGCGUUGGAAGGUAGGGAAGCAGCCUUUCUUCAGCGGACUCUUAUUGUGAACUCACUGCUGGGACUGGGGCUCCAAAUCAGCAGAGAGCAUCCCAUUAAGGUCAAAGAGCCUGUUGAAGAGUGUGGUGUCUAUGUGAGAAAAGGAGAAGGUAGGGGAGCUUCCUGUCUAAGGUGUUAAAGAAAACCUAUUUGAAGGCCUAAUCUUUGAAUUUCUUUGGGGAAUAUAAUUCUUCUUCUAAUUUGAAUGAACUCAAACUCCUGGUAUUUCUUCCGAUGUUUAGCUAAUAUACCAGAAGUGAUAACGGUUCCCUUUUACCUCUGAGAUUCAUAGUUGAUUGAGUCAUUAAUAAUCUCCUAAUUUCUGUGUUUUCCUUUCUUUCUGUCUUCAGGGAUCUCUGGAAGCUAAAUAAGAAAAAGAGGUAUUUUACUGGGAGCUUUUUUGCAGUUUGACAGCUCUUCAGGGAUGAAACUCACGCCUUGGAAAAGAAAAACAGCAGCCACAGCCCGUUCAUCUCUUAAAUCCUACGUUGUUUAGUCUGGUACCUUCAUCUUUGUCCUGGGAUUGCCAUGUGAAGAAGUUCUUUUCUGCUUUUUCUUAGUGCUACUCGUAGGUCCUGACAAGAUGUACCAUGAGAAAAGUAUUUGUUUCGGAAGCUGUUUCCUAUAACAUAACAGAACCUUAGAAAAGGAGUGGGUUUGAAUUCUAAUUGAAUUCAAAGCUACACAGCACAGAGUAACAACAGCAAACUCUGUGCCUGUACAGUUGGAAUUUUGCUGCCAAAUGUGGUUAAACAGUUUUUCACUUUUCCCCAAAACAUGAACAUUGUCUAAGUAGAAAAGUAUUUCCAUUUGUAGAAGGGACUUUUUUUCAUUUUGUACAUCUGCAGGCAUAAAAGGACCAUAAUAGACCACAAAUUAGAUCCGGGAACUGAAACAAGCUCAGCUUGUAACUGAGACCACAGGUCUGUAAAAAAACCUAUAGCAUCAUUUUUGGGUGAGCUCUUUUUUUUUCAUGUUUGUUUGUGUUGUUUUUUUUUUUUUCUUUUAUGGCAAAGCAAAUGAAAACUCAUUUUAUAUUCAAAUAUGACACCAUCUGUUCCCUGAGUUAGAAAAACUGGGUGAACUGAUCCAAUAUACAUUGCGCUAGAAGGAGGGGAACAAAUGCAGAAAAUAUCUCUUUCUCUCAUCUCUCCUGUUUUGUGUCCCACUGUUCCAUGACUUGACCACAAAGGACUUGCAGAUGGCACAUGAGUGUUUUGUUUUUUUUUUUCUGUUUGAUCUGGUCCCUCCAUUCUUCUGGGCUAGAAUUUUCCCUUUCCCAGUGUGAUCUGCUGUGUCUCUCCGCUUCCCUCUGAUGCAGCCUCUCCUAAUGCUCUGUCCCCUGAGGUGACGGAGACCAGAUCAUGUAGGACGUCUUACCAGCGUCCUGUGGCAAACUUCGUCUUCGAGUGGUGAUGCCACUGGGCACGAAGGAGAGGUGGUUUGUCAUAGGUGACACUUGCCUCACUCCUAUUUGUGUUCAACUCUCCCAAUUCUUCAUCCGUGAUCCCACAUAGCAGAGGAGGCUACCUGUCCUGCAGGAAUGGCUUUGACCAGUGCAGUGGCCAGCUGCUGUGCUGAGGACGGCAUCCGUAGGAGCUGAAAGUCCCACUCCCGACUUCUAGAUCAGUCCCGUGAGAGUCUCUUUUACUUUUGACCACAGCGAUUUGGAACCAGGACCAGAAUGAAACAGAUCGCUUGCAAUCAUCUGAAGUACUGGGCAAUGAUUGGGCAGUAAUUGAAUGAAAGGAGGAAGAGGACAACUGAAAACUCGCCGUGUAUGUAACUCUCUGGGAACGUGAAAAAUACUCCUAUGUAACUUUUAAGCUCAUCAGUUCAAACAGCAUGACAAAAAUAUUCUGCAACAACCACCAUCCCCACCUCCCCUCUUAAAAAAAAAAGAGAAAAAGAAGUCCCUAAGCUAGCCUGGGCCUGACAAUAGCUGGUUGUGAGGCAUAUGUUAAACAGUUUUCAGCUAACACGGGCAAAGGAAAUCAGCUAUGAAACUGUAUUAAGGAAAUAUGAGACUACUGUAAUCUGCAUAAAAAUAAAUUUGGGUAUAUUCCCAACACACAAUCGCACUGUGGAA
Molecule: long non-coding RNA, 2861 nt
Organism: Chroicocephalus ridibundus (black-headed gull)
Lineage: Eukaryota; Metazoa; Chordata; Aves; Charadriiformes; Laridae
Exons: 5
Source: RefSeq, a predicted model, not a curated record